GCGCCCGUCGUCUAGCGGUCCAGGACAACGCCCUCUCACGGCGUAGAUCACGGGUUCGAAUCCCGUCGGGCGUACCA
RNAcentral lists this transfer RNA (77 nucleotides) under Rhizobium sp. P32RR-XVIII. Its description in RNAcentral is "tRNA-Glu". It matches the Rfam family "tRNA". From Rfam's summary of the family: Transfer RNA (tRNA) molecules are approximately 80 nucleotides in length. Their secondary structure includes four short double-helical elements and three loops (D, anti-codon, and T loops). Lineage: Bacteria; Pseudomonadati; Pseudomonadota; Alphaproteobacteria; Hyphomicrobiales; Rhizobiaceae. RNAcentral also lists the same sequence under 2 other names. The record is from RNAcentral.